CUUACUGAGACACGGCCCAGACUCCUACGGGAGGCAGCAGUAGGGAAUCUUCGGCAAUGGGGGCAACCCUGACCGAGCAACGCCGCGUGAGUGAAGAAGGUUUUCGGAUCGUAAAGCUCUGUUGUAAGAGAAGAACGUAUGUGAGAGUGGAAAGUUCACAUAGUGACGGUACCUUACCAGAAAGGGACGGCUAACUACGUGCCAGCAGCCGCGGUAAUACGUAGGUCCCGAGCGUUAUCCGGAUUUAUUGGGCGUAAAGCGAGCGCAGGCGGUUGGAAAAGUCUGAAGUGAAAGGCUGUGGCUUAACCAUAGUAUGCUUUGGAAACUGUUCAACUUGAGUGCAGAAGGGGAGAGUGGAAUUCCAUGUGUAGCGGUGGAAUGCGUAGAUAUAUGGAGGAACACCGGUGGCGAAAGCGGCUCUCUGGUCUGUAACUGACGCUGAGGCUCGAAAGCGUGGGUAGCGAACAGGAUUAGAUACCCUGGUAGUCCACGCCGUAAACGAUGAGUGCUAGGUGUUAGACCCUAUCCGGGGUUUAGUGCCGCAGCUAACGCAUUAAGCACUCCGCCUGGGGAGUACGACCGCAAGGUUGAAACUCAAAGGAAUUGACGGGGGCCCGCACAAGCGGUGGAGCAUGUGGUUUAAUUCGAAGCAACGCGAAGAACCUUACCAGGUCUUGACAUCCUUCUGACAGAUCUAGAGAUAGAUUUUCUCUUCGGAGCAGAAGUGACAGGUGGUGCAUGGUUGUCGUCAGCUCGUGUCGUGAGAUGUUGGGUUAAGUCCCGCAACGAGCGCAACCCUUAUUGUUAGUUGCCAUCAUUAAGUUGGGCACUCUAGCGAGACUGCCGGUAAUAAACCGGAGGAAGGCGGG
RNAcentral lists this ribosomal RNA (869 nucleotides) under uncultured bacterium. RNAcentral's name for it is "bacterial SSU rRNA". It matches the Rfam family "Bacterial small subunit ribosomal RNA", at positions 309 to 1177 of the family's 1533-position model. The record is from RNAcentral.